ACGCUCGACACCUACGGGGGCAGCAGUGGGGAAUAUUGCACAAUGGGGGAAACCCUGAUGCAGCGACGCCGCGUGAGCGAAGAAGUAUUUCGGUAUGUAAAGCUCUAUCAGCAGGGAAGAAACUGACGGUACCUGACUAAGAAGCACCGGCUAAAUACGUGCCAGCAGCCGCGGUAAUCUGAGGCGGGCGUGGCGAAGGCG
Molecule: ribosomal RNA, 201 nt
Filed under: uncultured bacterium
Lineage: Bacteria
Description: partial 16S ribosomal RNA
Rfam family: Bacterial small subunit ribosomal RNA
Source: RNAcentral